UACGUAGGGCGCAAGCAGUGUCCGGAAUUAUUGGGCGUAAAGAGCUCGUAGGCGGCCUGUUGCGUCCGCUGUGAAAUCCCGGGGCUCAACCCCGGGCGUGCAGUGGAUACGGGCUGGCUGGAGGCAGGCAGGGGAGAACGGAAUUCCUGGUGUAGCGGUGAAAUGCGCAGAUAUCAGGAGGAACACCGGUGGCGAAGGCGGGUCUCUGGGCCGAUACUGACGCUGAGGAGCGAAAGCGUGGGGAGCGAACAGG
RNAcentral lists this ribosomal RNA (253 nucleotides) under uncultured bacterium. RNAcentral describes it as "partial 16S ribosomal RNA". It matches the Rfam family "Bacterial small subunit ribosomal RNA", at positions 524 to 776 of the family's 1533-position model. The record is from RNAcentral.